GGAGGGAUUAGCCAAGCGGGCAUGUCGGGGGAGAGAGCCCUGGGCAGAGAGAACUAGAGUAAAGGGUCUAAGGCAGGGUGGACAGGGUGAUGGGGGAGGCGGUCAUAAGAAGAGGGACAGAGAAGUAAGGACAGAGGGAACAUGGGCCGGAUGGGCUUGAGGCCAAACCCAGAAAGAAGAGAGAAGACAAACUGAAGCAAGUUCUCUAAACCUUCUGGUAAGGGACUCGGGAGAAAAUCCCCUGAACUGGCACUAGUUCUGGUGUGAACGAUUGUUGGCCUUGCUGACGUCACAUUCUCUCUGAGAUGCAUUUCCUUGCUCUUACAUUUAGACACUUGCACCAAUUCUUUGCUUCAUCCACUUACUCAAGGGACACUGUCCAUUACCCAUGGGGCCCCAGGCACACGGCAUGGCACAGCACUGCAGACUCUAAGCUGGGUCACGCACGGCCUCAGCCCUCCCUGUGCAGUGUCCCUCCUGCUCUACACUCUGCUGAAAGAAGUGAGGGGAGGGGCCUAGAGACGGCGUGAUGAUGGGACGACUCUGACCUUGAAAUGGAGUUCGGCUUCCUCUGAGCAGUCCCAAAGGAAGGCACUGGAUGGGUGGAAGGUUUUGCUAAACAGAUCUGGGAGACAAGAGAAGGAAGGCUUCUGCAAAAAUCCGAUGGGCUCUGCUCAUUGGACGUCUUCAAGCAAAGGCUGGAAGACCAUUUGCUGGAGAUGUCAUAGAGAUUUGGGUGUUGGAUGGAGGCUGGAUUAGAUGGUUUUUAAGGCCUGAGGGAAUUUUCUCAGGUAUCUGCCACUCUGGAGGACAUUGGUACAAAGGCAGGUUGUGGCUGUUGGGUUGUGUUGAGAGUCUUGCUUUGAUCUGAGGGUCAGACUGCUCUCCCAUGAGCACCGAGGUGAAUCAGACGGUGGCCUCUGAAGCAGGGGGGCAUGCAGGCUUCUCGGUGGGCCUUUCUUCUCCACCGGGUUCUGUGGGCAGAAUGUUCCUUAACUGAGUUUGCUUCAAGGCCUCACUGCCUCCCCUUGUCGGGCGUGAGGCUGGGGUUGCUCUGGGCCUGGCCUCGCCCUACUGUCCACCUGUCUGUGUUCUCACACAGGACUCCAGGCUCUGGGACCCAGAGUGUUUCCUUCUUCCAGAUUAAUAGUUACCGAACUCCGUUAUUCUCCAAAAAAGUCCUGUGGUGACAUGGGAGCAACUAAAUGUCCAUCAAGAGAGGAAUGGAUAAAGAAGAUGUGGCACAUAUAUACAGUGAAAUAUUGCUCAGCCAUAAGAAGGAACAAAAUUGUGUCAUUUACAGAGAGGUGGAUGGAUCUAGAGACUUUCACAUAGAGUAAA
Bos taurus (domestic cattle) is the source of this 1341-nucleotide long non-coding RNA. NCBI's taxonomy places the organism in Eukaryota, Metazoa, Chordata, Mammalia, Artiodactyla, Bovidae. The record is from Ensembl.